AUACAGAGGGGGCAAGCGUUGUUCGGAAUUACUGGGCGUAAAGGGCGCGUAGGCGGCCUCCUAAGUCGAACGUGAAAUCCCUGGGCUCAACCCAGGAACUGCGUCCGAUACUGGUUGGCUUGAAUCCGGGAGAGGGAUGCGGAAUUCCAGGUGUAGCGGUGAAAUGCGUAGAUAUCUGGAGGAACACCGGUGGCGAAGGCGGCAUCCUGGACCGGCAUUGACGCUGAUGCGCGAAAGCCAGGGGAGCAAACG
Molecule: ribosomal RNA, 252 nt
Filed under: uncultured prokaryote
Description: partial 16S ribosomal RNA
Rfam family: Bacterial small subunit ribosomal RNA
Source: RNAcentral